This 429-nucleotide ribosomal RNA is filed under the name Bacteroidota bacterium. RNAcentral's name for it is "Bacteroidetes bacterium partial 16S ribosomal RNA". It matches the Rfam family "Bacterial small subunit ribosomal RNA", at positions 355 to 776 of the family's 1533-position model. Lineage: Bacteria; Pseudomonadati; Bacteroidota. The record is from RNAcentral.
UAGGGAAUCUUCGGCAAUGGGGGGAACCCUGACCGAGCAACGCCGCGUGAGUGAAGAAGGUUUUCGGAUCGUAAAGCUCUGUUGUUAAGGAAGAACGAGUGUGAGAAUGGAAAGUUCAUACUGUGACGGUACUUAACCAGAAAGGGACGGCUAACUACGUGCCAGCAGCCGCGGUAAUACGUAGGUCCCGAGCGUUGUCCGGAUUUAUUGGGCGUAAAGCGAGCGCAGGCGGUUAGAUAAGUCUGAAGUUAAAGGCAGUGGCUCAACCAUUGUAGGCUUUGGAAACUGUGUAACUUGAGAGCAGAAGGGGAGAGUGGAAUUCCAUGUGUAGCGGUGAAAUGCGUGGAUAUAUGGAGGAACACCGGUGGCGAAAGCGGCUCUCUGGUCUGUAACUGACGCUGAGGCUCGAAAGCGUGGGGAGCGAACAGG